Molecule: ribosomal RNA, 253 nt
Filed under: uncultured bacterium
Lineage: Bacteria
Description: partial 16S ribosomal RNA
Rfam family: Bacterial small subunit ribosomal RNA
Source: RNAcentral
UACGGAGGGUGCAAGCGUUACCCGGAAUCACUGGGCGUAAAGGGCGUGUAGGCGGCGGUUCAAGUCCGGCUUUAAAGACUGCGGCUCAACCGCAGGGAUGGGCUGGAUACUGAAUGGCUGGGUCUCUGGAGAGGUAAGUGGAAUUUCGGGUGUAGCGGUGGAAUGCGUAGAUACCCGAAGGAACACCGAUGGCGAAGGCAGCUUACUGGACAGAAGAUGACGCUGAGGCGCGAAAGUGUGGGGAGCAAACCGG